AUGGAUGUCAAGUCGGCCUUCCUAAAUGGUGAUCUGGUUGAAGAGGUAUAUGUGACCCAGCCGCCAGGCCAUGAGAUAGAAGGGAAGGACAGUAAGGUGUAUCGCUUGCACAAGGCGUUGUAUGGGCUCAAACAAGCGCCAAGGGCAUGGAACUCCAAGCUGGAUGCAACACUCUCUGAACUAGGCUUUGAAAAGUGUCCUUCAGAGUCUGGUCUGUACAGGAAGAAAGCAGGUGGUUCUGCACUGAUUGUGGGUGUGUAUGUGGAUGAUCUAGUCAUCACAGGAGGAAGUGAGCAAGCCAUUGAGGAUUUCAAAAGGCAGAUGAAAUUCAGGUUCAGCAUGACAGAUUUGGGUCUAUUGAGCUAUUACUUGGGCAUAGAGGUAAAGCAAUCAGAGAAGGGCAUUACUCUUUGUCAAACUGGCUAUGCUUCACGGAUACUUGAAAAGAUGGGGAUGACAAACUGUAAUGCAAGUCACACACCUAUGGAGCCAAGACUGAAACUGUCGAGAACAAGUCAGGCUGAGGAAGUUGAUCCAACUGAAUAUCGAAGCAUAGUUGGGAGUUUAAGGUAUUUGUUGCACACAAGACCAGAUCUCAGCUUUGCAGUUGGAUAUGUCAGCAGAUUCAUGGAAAGGCCAACCAAGGAUCAUAAAACAGCAGUAAAACACAUAUUAAGAUAUGUGAAAGGCACACUCAGUUUGGGCUGUAGCUACAAGAAAACUGAAGGAAAACCACAACUGUUGGGUUACUCUGACAGUGACCACGCAGGCGACAUUGAUGAUCGGAAAAGCACUACGGGGGUGCUGUACUACUAUGGCAAUUGCCUAGUGUCUUGGAUGACUCAGAAACAGAAGAUUGUCGCUCAAUCAUCAUGUGAGGCAGAAUAUGUGGCUGCUGCUUCUGCUGCUUGUCAGGGAGUGUGGCUAGCAAGAUUAGUUGAAGAAUUGCUAGGCUAUGAGCAAGCCAAGGUCAAGAUCAAAGUGGAUAAUCAAUCGGCUAUUGCACUGUGUAAAAAUCCUGUGUUCCAUGAAAGAAGCAAACACAUUGAUGUGCGCUACCACUUCGUCAGACAAUGUGUUGAGGAAGGAAAGAUUGAGGUGGAGCACGUCAGUACUGGAGAGCAACAUGCAGACAUCCUGACUAAAGCCCUCCCAAGGUUUCAGUUUCAGGUGUUGAAAGAGAAAAUAGGAGUGCUUGAGGUGAGUUCAGGACCAUGUUUAAAGGGGUGA
This 1230-nucleotide ribosomal RNA is filed under the name Triticum aestivum (bread wheat). RNAcentral describes it as "partial small subunit ribosomal RNA". Lineage: Eukaryota; Viridiplantae; Streptophyta; Magnoliopsida; Poales; Poaceae. The record is from RNAcentral.